Molecule: ribosomal RNA, 459 nt
Filed under: uncultured bacterium
Lineage: Bacteria
Description: partial 16S ribosomal RNA
Rfam family: Bacterial small subunit ribosomal RNA
Source: RNAcentral
CCUACGGGGUGCAGCAGUGAGGAAUAUUGGUCAAUGGACGAGAGUCUGAACCAGCCAAGUCGCGUGAAGGAUGACUGCCCUAUGGAUGUUAACUUCUUUUUUAUGGGAAUAAAACAGGGGAUGCAUACCCUCUUGUAUGUACCAUAUGAAUAAGGAUCGGCUAACUCCGUGACAGCAGCCGCGGUAAUACGGAGGAUCCGAGCGUUAUCCGGAUUUAUUGGGGUUAAAGGGGGCGUAGGUGGGUUGUUAAGUCAGUUGUGAAAGUUUGCGGCUCAAACGUAAAAUUGCAGUUGAAACUGGCAGUCUUGAGUACAGUAGAGGUGGGCGGAAUGCGUGGUGUAGCGGUGAAAUGCUUAGAUAUCACGAAGAACUCCGAUUGCGAAGGCAGCUCACUGGACUGCAACUGACACUGAUGCUCGAAAGUGUGGGUAUCAAACAGGAUUAGAUACCCUAGUAGUC